Molecule: long non-coding RNA, 1018 nt
Organism: Anguilla anguilla (European eel)
Lineage: Eukaryota; Metazoa; Chordata; Actinopteri; Anguilliformes; Anguillidae
Exons: 2
Source: RefSeq, a predicted model, not a curated record
UGGAAAUAACUUUCCCCUCACAUGGAGACUGGCGGAUGAAUGAGUCGUUAGCCACUCGCCCAUCGCUUCAUGCAUAAGAAGCUACUGCUGAGGAAGAAGAAGAGUGCUCUUCUAUGCUGACCCCCACACCUCAUGACCCCUCGUAUCCUACAGCCCACUCUGAGAAAAGAGCGGUUGAUAUUUCCCGAAGAGCUGUUGGGGCUUCGACAGCAGGAGUCGGAUGAAAGAGACGAAACGUGCGAACGGCGAGCCCAGCAGGCGACACCACACGCUGCGCUGCGAUGCGACGCGUCCGAGGGACGGGAGAGCCUCCCUUCGCCGGCCUCCAAGCAGCCGCCUGCCCGAUCGCCAUGGAAACGUUAAAUGAAAACUGCACGCAGAGCGAAUGCUGAGUUGAUGGACUAAAGCCAGACCCUGCCCACGCUUUACCGUGAAAACACGUUGAUCGACUGUCUUUCCCAUCUCUCUAACAGCAUAGAGUGCGCUAACAGCCAUUUAAACCACCCAGCAGAUGUGAACACUGAGAACCAGGUGUGUUUCUUUUCUCACCGGAAACUUCAGGUAGACCGGAUCCAACACUAAUAACGAGGCAGGCAUGGCUGAAUCUCAGCUGUGAGCCGCAGCUCUGUAUGCUAAAGUAACAAAACCUGAUGUGUAUGGGUAUCUGCACUAAAUGGUGAUGUCACAAACUUUGGUUAGUCCCCCCUCCAACUGUCAGAGGUCAUGUCGCAAAGUCUGAAAUGUCACCAGUCUGAUUACUUUGGUUAGUCCCCCCUCCAACUGUCAGAGGUCAUGUCGCAAAGUCUGAAAUGUCACCAGUCUGAUUGCAACGCUGACCACACCAGUUACACCGGUGCUGUGCGACUCUUGAGAGCGAUGAUGCUGUCAGCUGAGGGUAUAUGAGGUGUACAGUGGUACUGCACAGUUGCUGUAUUCAUGAAUCAUCAGUUGAUGUCACUUCCUAGGGUCCAUAUGGUCCCUGUGCAAGUAGCUUUAAAUAAAGUCACUGCAAAACGUA